AGACAGGGUCUUGAUAUGUCACUUAGGCUGGUCUUGAACUCCUGGGCUCAAGUGAUUCUCCUGCCUUGGCCUCCCAAAGCGCUGGAAUUGACCUAACCACCAACGGCAUGCACAGGAAAACAAACAAGGAGCGUCUUUUGGUCAGCCUAGGGAAGGAAGAAAGUGAGAAAACAAAACAAAACACAAAAAUCAGUCAAGCUCAACUCACUGUAAUGUUGUGGUGAAGGCUGCCAUGUUGAACUCAGGAAUCCGCUGCAGCAGCUGUUCUUCAAUGUAUUUUUCUACCAAAGAAAUCUGCAACAGUGGAAAGGAUUUUGGUGAGACCAUACUUUGGGAAAACAAGACUUCUUUUCAGAAAGCCUGCCCAGCCCUUUCUAAACAUUUCCUGAGGUCUGUGUGCCACAAUCUACACUGAGUGCCAAGGAUACCAAAGAGGACCAAAACACAGCUCCUGUCCUGGAGAAGUACUCAGCCUGGUGUGGAAGAGAAGCCUUAGCUGAUAAUGGUGCUGUAACAGGGUGGAUGCUCUGACACAGGUGGAGACAGUGAGUAGCACGGUACCCACACCCACAACCCAGUGCAGGAUGCAGUAAGUGGGGGCUUUGCCUCCUGGGUAGAGGGCAUCUGUGUAACAGAACAUACGGACAUGGAGGCAGUCACAGGUUCCUUCUGGGCAGGUUUGUUUAUGCCAUGCUUCUGUGUUAAGAAAAUAAAGUCCUGGAGGCCAAAAUGGAUUCUUAGAUGACAGAAUCCCAGGGGGCUGUUAAGAGGCCUCAGGGUAAAGUGUAGAGACCCAAGGGUGACGAGCUGAGGUUCCUGGGUUCCAGUCUUGGUUUUUCCACCAAAUAGUUAGUGAUCUUGGUCUCAGUUUUCACUUUUACUUAAUAGUCAUGCAUAUAUGACUGGAUUAUAUAGAAGAAAGAAAGAGUAUGUGAAAGCAGAAAGGUUUGUCAAAAGCAUGCAAAUGCAAGGUAUGAAGAACUCAUGUACUGUGAUUAAAAGCAGGAUUAUGAUAAGCCAAACGUCUUUUAUUUAUUAUCUUUAUUAUUAUCAUUUUUUUUUUAGAGACAGAGAUCUUGCUGUGUUGCCCAGGCUGGUCUCAAACUCCUAAGCUCAAGUGAUUCUUCCACCUCAACCUCCCAAAUAGCUGGCACUACAGGUGUGCUACCAAGCCCAGGUCAAACUUCUUUUAAAUAAGAAGCUGAUGAGUUAAUCAAAUAUUUGCCUGAAAGCCUUUUGGAAAAUAGCCCCAAAGGCUGUGCAGAGGAAAAUGAACUUAAACCAGAUGCUAAUGAGGAUUCCUGGAAGUGUACUGGUGGCAUAUUUUAAAAGGCAGCAAAUUUCAAUGUCUUUUGAAUCUAAAUUUAAAUUUUUAAAAACUCUGACCUCCUGGUAGGAGACAUAGAAAUCUACUUACGUAUUCAUUAAAAAUAGGUGUGUAGAUGAGUUUAUUCUCUUCUGUGUCUUCAAACUCCAGGUAGUACUUGUCCAUGAAAUUUCUCUGUAAUAACUGGAACUCGUCAUCUGAACCACAGUGGGGAAAAUUUAUUCUUUUUAAUGGAGAUUACCAACCAUUAUGAUUUAUAAGUAGGCAGGAUCUAUGUCAGCAGUACUGCUUUCUCAAUGAUCAGUCUCUGGAAGGAAAGCUGAUGUUUUAAGGGGGUAUUAAAUGGGACCCUGAUGUGGAAAUAGCCCAAUCCUCCUGUUUUCUUUUUCUUUCUUUCUUUUUUUUUUUUUUUUUUUUUUUUUGAGCUGGAGUUUCUCUUGUUGCCCAGGCUGGAGUGCAAUGGUGCGAUCUCGGUUCACUGCAACCUCCACCUCCAGGGUUCAAAAGAUUCUACUGCCUUAGCCUCCUGAGUAGCUGGGAUUACAGGUGUGUGCCACCUCGCCAGCCUAAUUUUGUAUUUUUAGUAGAGACAGGGUUUCAUCAUGUUGGCUAGGCUGAUCUCGAACUCCCGACCUCAGGUGAUCUGCCUGCCUCCGCCUCCCAAAGUGCUGGGAUUACAGGUGUGAGCCACCGCACCCAGCCCUGUUUUCUUUUUAAAUUGUGGUGAGAUAUACAAUUUUUUUUUAUCAUUUUAAUGUUUAAGCACACAGCUCAGUGGCUUUAAGUAUGUUUACAUUGUUGUGCAAUGAUCACCACCAUCCUUCAGUCCAUUUUAACCAUAUCCACACAGGGUGGCUUGGGAACUCCCUGACAUUACUUUUCUGAAAAGGAAUGAAUUGGUUCUCUCUUAUUUUGAUAUAACUUCCACAGCAGUUGUGGAAACAGUGUAGUGAUUAAAAUUAUGGGGUCUGAAAGAGGCUAGCCCGUCUGGGUUCGAAUCGCAUCUCAGCUACUUACUAAUUGUGUGACCUUGGGUAAGUUACUUAAUUUCUCUAACCCCCAUAUAAACACAUUUAUCUGGAAAAUAAGAAUGGUUUAUGGUAGUUAUCAUAUAGGAUUGGAAGUGGAAUUUAGAUGAGAAUUCAUGUAAAUAGAUUAGUUCAUAGUGAACACUUAAUAAAUGAUAGGGAAUAGGGAAUUUUUUUUUUUUAAUUGAGACAGGGUUCUCCCUAUGGUGCCUAGGCUGGUCUCGAACUCCUAGACUCAAGCAAUCCACCUGCGCUGGCCUCCCAAAGUGUUGGGGUUAUAGGUGUGAGCCACCGUACCCAUCCCGGAAUAAGGAAUUUUAACAACUGAAUAGAUUAUUUCUAAAAAUAAAAGGAAAGUUUCAGAAAGGACCCAGACUUUGGGAUAAAUACCGUAGGCUCACAGAAGGCUCAUUUUCCCAUAGCAUAUAGGGUAUAAUAGGCAAGAGAACUGAAUGGAUUCUUCAGUAUUCCCCAGAAAUCCCCAAGUCCACAUGGGAAACGAGCUUAAUGAUGAAACAUCUAUAUUCAGGAGUUAAGGGCAUGAACCUUUAUACCUGAAGGUAUAAAAACUUGGUCAGUAAUUUUCAUUCUAAAUGGAUUAAGCCAUACAGCCAAUAACACCAAAUAACAGUGUUCUUUUCUCAAUUCUCAUAAAACUUAAAGUCAACAGAAUUUUCUCAAAUGUAAGUUUUCCCCUCCUACAUACUUGUCUUAAACCUCUGGGGACUGUUACUGCUUCUCUGUUACUUAGCAGGUUUCAUGGAUGCCCAAAUACAUCCACAAGUAGGAACUCAAAACCUAGGAAAAUACAGAACCAGCUGAAGCUUAAUACCUUGUUUUCUUUAUGGCCAUGUGUGCUUAUGGUUAUGGUUUUAUGUGUUUAUUUUCAUUUUUAUUUUUUCCAGACGGAGUCUCGCUCUGUCGCCCAGGCUGGAGUGAAGUGGCACGAUCUCGGAUCACUGCAAGCUCCACCUCCCAGGUUCACGCCAUUUUCCUGCCUCAGCCUCCUGAGUAGCUGGGACUACAGGCGCCCGCUACCACGCCCGGCUAAUUUUUUUUGUAUUUUUAGUAGAGACAGGGUUUCACCGUGUUAGCCAGGAUGGUCUUGAUCUCCUGACCUCGUGAUCCGCCCACCUCGGCCUCCCAAAGUGCUGGGAUUACAGGCGUUAGCCACCGCACCUGGCCUGGUUUUAUGUGUUUUAUGGCAUGAAAAUGUUAAAACUCAAAACUAUCUAAAAUUGAAAUUGCUCUUACCCUACAUAAGAAAUAGAGUAGAUCAUUAUUUCCUAUAGUUUUGCGAAGAACGCCACACUGCUGGUGCCCUAUUAGCCUGAGUCAGUCCCUUCCAGCCUCUGAAUCUAUGCUUAUUAGAUGUUUUCAGGAGUACUGGGCUGUUUGUUUCUAAGACAAACUGCAGUAAGCCUUUACUUAAGUAUUACAUUGUGCUACAUUAAAAAUUGCAGGCAGCUUGAUGUUUUCUCUUUUUAAAAUUAACUCUCCAAAUUGAUUUCAAUGUCCUUAAAGAAACAAGCAAGUCCUUAAAAACAGUAUCUUAAAAGCUUACCCAUGAUAAUGUCCUCUAAAUAUCCAACCACAGCAUCAAAUUCUGCAUCAGAGGCGGAGGAGCUGAAAAACAUGCCUGGAUUAGGUGCUAUUUCAAAUAAUGCAUUAAAAAAAUGUUUUUAGUAUGGACGUUUUCAAACAUGCACAAGAGAAAAAAGAGUAGCAAAACGAACUUCCCAUCACCCAUCUUCAACGAUUAAGAAUGACUGACUGAUCUAGUAAGUCCAAACAGAAGAAAACACACUCGGCACGUUUGUGACAUGAACGUUCAAUGUCAUGACUCCACUUUAAUAAAAACUUGUUCUCCAGGCUCUUAGCUAUCACCCCA
Molecule: long non-coding RNA, 4246 nt
Organism: Homo sapiens (human)
Lineage: Eukaryota; Metazoa; Chordata; Mammalia; Primates; Hominidae
Exons: 2
Source: RefSeq, a predicted model, not a curated record